GCUUCGGUGGCUUGGUGGUUAUAGCAUCCGCCUCAGAUGCGGGGGGUCACGGGUUCGAACCACGGCCGAGUCA
Molecule: non-coding RNA, 73 nt
Organism: Potamilus streckersoni
Lineage: Eukaryota; Metazoa; Mollusca; Bivalvia; Unionida; Unionidae
Source: the annotation of a GenBank genome assembly